UCACACCCUGCGAGUCAGCUGACUGCUGUGUCAUCGCUGCUGCUUUCUGCAUCAUCGCACUGCCCCAGCCCUGGUUCCUGCCGUUUCCUCAUCACAAAGCAUACAGCUAGGCAAAAAGCGACAGUUUGAAAGUGUUCUUUUCCUGCUGCUACCUAGCAUUUCUUCCGUGAGGAGUAUUUACCUUGUGUAGCCAGGAGCAGAGAAGCAGUCUGAAUGCACACAAUGGCUUCACACUUGGCAGCGUGCAUUUCCAGCAGAGCAGGUACUGCCUGGAGCCUGGUGGCCAGCCUGCCCCUGGUGGAGCGCGGCUGGGUCCCCAGCACUUGUGGGAAUAGCGUGCGGGCUUCUCACGCCGCGCCGCUCUACCUGCAGGAGUAAAGGCUAGGACAAAGGAGAUGCUGAUGCCGUUUGCCUGGCUGGGGCCUGGGCAGGCAGACUCCACCGAACUGAUGCUGUGUGACCCUCCCAGCUCCCAGUUCGGGCUGGUCACGGGGGCUGGCGCAGAUUCCCGCUCCUCAGUUAGAACACGGUUGAAAGGAGAAACCAGGCUCACUGACCUAAAUCCAUCCCGGUCCUCUCUGGAUGCGGGGACAGCUGUCGACUAGCAGUGACACAGCCAGCCAUCAAGUGGAGAAUCGUUGCGACUGCAGUCUGGGUGCAGGUGGAGCCUGGGAGAUUGACAGUUUAAUUGCGGUCCUCCGAUGGCUUCUUCUCAUUUUCCUAAAUAAUCGUGCGCGCUAAGUGUACAGUUGCCUGGAUUAGUCUGCCUUCCACAGUCUUCGUCUGCGCUGGUUGGAAAUCAGGGUGCCAGGCAAGACUGUUUAGUGCUGGCUCCUUCCUGCGUGAUGUUAUUCAACUAGGAUGGGUCACACUGACAACAAAGAAGGAAGCAGAAGGCAUCACUUUAUCUUCUCUUGUGAUGUUAGCGGAACAUAACCGUUCUCCUCCGCAAUGAUGCCCUCCUCUGUGUGUGUGCGCGCGUGUGUUUGUGAGUGUGUUUUAAUUCGUCUAAUCGAGGAGCCUAACAGAUAUCAUCAUGGAUGUGUGCCUUUUUAAAAAUGAUUUGGAAAAAAAGGCAGCCUGUGGAGACAGCGAUUUGAGACAGCUGCACAUUUAGGUUAUUGCCAAUUUGAAAUACUUUGGUUUGUGAAGCCGAGCCCUAAGAGACAAGCUGGGUAACUGAGAAGGAGAUCGUAGAUAAAGAAAUAAAAAUGACAAGCGUAAUGGAGGCUCUGUGGCAGGACUGUCAGAGCAUCAGUUCCUGGAUGGCAAUUUCGCCAGGCUGAGAUUGAAUAAUUCAUAGAUUGAAAUUACCCUGCUUUCACCUUUCCAUUUAAACCGGCAUGAUCUGAAUCUCUAAUAAAUUUUCAAGAUAAAGUAAAAUGCCAGUUUGAAUCUGAAGAGCUUUUAAAACCAGAUGCUGCAUCCCUGAAUCUUUCGGUAUCUUUCACAAUUAUCCUGUGAGAACUGCACUUCAUCACGAAGCACCAUUACCAGUGAAAAUUACUGUGAUUACAAUAGCAACAGUAGAAUACCGUCAAAUGAUCUCUAAUUUACCUAAUUUGCUAAGACUGUGUGCUUUUAACGCCCAUUGUAUGUCACCCUGCCGGGCACCCUGGAUCUCUCUUGCACCGAAACAAAAGUGAGGCAGUGUGUGUGAUACCUUAACUCCCAAAGCAAAGAACAUUCUCCUAGGUUACAACGUCUCUUUCGUUGGGUUUGCAUUUGUGUGUGUGUGUGUGUGUGUGUGUGUGUGUGUAUGUGUUUCCAUUGCCUAUACCCCAAAUGUCCAUUUUGGGAAUUGGUGAGUGUGUUGUAUAUUUGGGGUUGAUUCUUGGAUACAGGAGAGCACAGACUUCUUAAUUUAUCCACCCUUUUAAUUUUAAUGUAUACAAGCAUGUGUUUACCAGAAGGGAGGGAAGAUUCUGUUCUAGGAGGAGUUUAAAAAUGCAGCCAAGAUGAAGUGUUCAUCUUUGUUUCUUUUUUGAAACUCCUUUCUGCUUUCAGGUUAGAGAGCCUUUCAGGGAAUUAUAAUCCUGGUGUGAUGUGUUUAAAACAAAACCAAAAACGUUUCAGAUUGAGAAGAAGCUCAAGAGACAUCCAGUAAUAACUCUGUGCAGCCCUUAGUGAGAGCAUGUGUGCCUGAGUGAGUAUAGGAAGCUUUGGUCCUAGACUUUGGUUGUGUUUGUGUCUGCUCGCUCUCCAAGUAGAAGUCUCACCCAAAUAAGUGUUGCAGGUUUUGUCUCGGGGGUCACUGUGCCACCUGAGAGAGUGGCAUGGCUCUUCAAGCCUCCGUGGAGAACAGACUGUAAUCAUUUGAUAGGCACAGGCACUUGUGGAAUUUCACCCUCAGUAGCAGACAGUAUGUGGGCUUCUGCUAGUCAAGUGAUUUAAGUUUGACUCUAGGUAGGGUUUCCGAGGAAUGACAAUCUCUGCGGAGGAAGGUAGGGUUGAAACAUACCUGUCUAAUGUUGCGAGUUGUUUGCUGAAGACCCUGAGCUCUGGUAUAUUUCUUAAUCCAUUAUCCCAGCUUUACCUCUUCCUGCACCCCUGCAAACACCUUUGGCAGAAGGAGGCAACAUCAUUGCACUGGAUAAUGAUGGUUCCGACCCUCAGAAUCUUUCACAAUCUGGAAGCGAGAGUGGAUUUCUUCUUCCAUUUUACGCCUCUCCAAACAAUAACAGGACCCUCGGGGGUCCUGCCCAGCAGCCAGGACAGUAAAUCCAAUAGUGGACAGUGACAACAAGGCUCAAGAGAGAAUCUUCCUACCGCCCUUUCCUUAACAAGGAAUGUCCCAUGUCAGCUGUGUAGUCCUUGGGGACCACAGGUAAUAAAGAAUAGUCAUGGCAGGGGCUUCCCUGGUGGCCCAAUGGUUAAGAAUCCAUCUUGCAAUGCAGGGGACGCCGGUUCGAUCCCUGGUCUGGGAACUAGGAUCCCACAUGCCGCGGGGCAACUUAGUUCAUGUGCCACAUCUAGAGAGCCCACAUGCUGUAACUACAGAGCCCACGUGCUCUGGAGAGUGCAUGCUACAACUAGAGAAGCUCUGCCACUGCAAUGAAGAGCCCGUGCACUGCAAUGAAAGAUCCCGCUUGCCGCAACCAAGACCCAACGCAGCCAAUAAUUAAUUAAUUAAUUAAUUAAUUUAAAAAACCCCAACUCCAUGGCCAAACUAAAGAGACAAUAAAAGAACAGUGGUUAUCAGGGGUUUGGAGAGAGAGAGAUGAAUAGACAGAGCACAGAGGAGUUUUAGGGCAGUGAAAAUACUCUGUAUGAUACUAUUAUGGUGGAUACACGUCAUUAUACUUUUGUUCAAACCCACAGAAUGUACAACACCAAGAGUGAAGCCUAAGGUAAAGGAUGGACUCUGGGUGAUUAUGAUGUAUCAAUGUAGGCUCAUCAUUUGUAACGACUGCAUCACUCUGGGGGGGGGAAAUGUUGAUAAUGGGGCGGCUAUGCAUGUGUGAGGACAGGAAGUAUAUGGGAAAUCUCUGUACCUCCAUCUCAAUUUUGCUGUGAACUUUAAAUUGCUUUUAAAAAGACACGGAAGUCUUAAUGUCUUAAAAGAGGGGGAAAAGGAGGGAAAAGAAAUACAGUAGAGCAAUUCUGAAAAGAAAAAAAACCCACCAACAACAGCUUAGCACUUUCAAAACAUACCCCCACCCAUCAUCACACUUAAUGCUCACGUUAACCUUGCAGGGUAGGUGUGAUUUCCACCCCCAUCUUACAGAGAAGGUAACAAGCUCUGAGAGGGUAAGUUAAACAAGGUCACUUGGUUCGUAAGUGGUAGCUAAAUUCUUUUCACAAUAUCAAAGACAAUUGUCUUUAACGUGCAGUUGUCAUCAAUUAUACUUCAAGAAAGCUGAAUGUAAUUGUCUUAGUAGCACAAGUAGAGAGACACAGUAUAAAUUUCUUUUAACUGUUAAUAAUCAACUUGCCUUUGUAUGUUUAAGGCAAAGUGACUGAAAUUUAAGAAGUAUUUGUCCUUUUAUUUUUUUAAGCACCCUGUAUAUUAAAGCUUAUUAUUCUGUUUUAUUCAUUUAAAUGUUAAAGGCUUGAAAAAUUGAAAAGCAUACCUAUCAGUGUGUAAAAUAAGGAUUUAUUUCGGAAACCUAAGAAUGAGCAUUAGGAAUUUUAUCAACAUAAUUUAUUCCAUUAAUAAAUUAAGGGGAAAAUAUAGGACUGUACCAAUAUAUGACAAAAGAGUAAUUGAUAUAAUUCAGUAAGCAUUCAUGAUGAAAUCUCUAAGUAAAAUAAAAAUUGAAAAUUUUAAAACAAGAUAGAAUAUUUACUGGAAGCUAACAAUGAAAUACUAAAGAAAUUUCUGUUAAAAUCAGAAAUAAGAUAGAGCUGUCCAUAUUGCCGCUAUUCUUCAGAAUGUGUUUUGGAGGCAGCUAAAAUUUGUGGGGGCGUGGCCAGAGAAAGGGGUAGCUACACAGAGCUGGGGCCCAAGAAAACUGGAUGGCCACUCCCUCAGAUCCUGGGCCAAGAACUGAGAAGCACAUGUACAAAGCCUGACUCUGUGAGUUCUGUUGCUGGGAAGCUGAGAGCUGAACAGAGAUAUUAGCGAGCACACAGAGUUUGGAGAAUCUGGGAUUGUGGCCCAGCCAGAGUGGACACUCCUCACUGAAAACAUCAGGCAUCCAAUUGAGACCCUAGAAAAGCCAUAUCUUAGUGAAAUUUAUGUCCUAGAAUAAAAGCCAUUCCCUAGGACUUAGGGCAAAAAUAGUAAUAGACUAUUCUAAGAAACCUUAAAACAAAGUCUGACUAGAUCAAGAUCUACCAAUUAUGUCACUAUUCGAUACCACCAAAACAAAACUUAUCACCCUUUAAAGGGAGACAACAUAAUCACUUCUCCCUAUAAUGUAUCAUCUACAAUGUCUAGCAUGCAAUAAAAAAUUAUUAAACCUGCAAAGAAUCAAGGAGAAAAAAUGGAAACAGAUCUUGAAAGACCCAGAUGUUAGGAUUAGUAUAUGAGGAUUUUAAAACACCUAUUAUAAAUAUCCUUAAGGAUAUGAAAUAAAGCAUGAAUAACUAUGAUGUAAGAGAUGGGGAAUCUUAGUCAAUAUAUAAAAGCAAUAAAAAAGAGCCAAUGGAUAUUAAGCUGAAAAAUAUAAAAUCUUAAAUAAAAGAUCGCCUGGAUAAGCAAUUUACUAUUAAGUAAAUUGGACACUACAGAAGAAAGCAUCAGUGACCUUGAAGACAGCUCAAUAGAAAUUUUCCAAAUUGCUGAACAUGAAAAAAAAAUUUUUGAAAUAAAAGCAAAGCCUCAGUGACUUGUGGGACAAUAUAAAAUGAUCUAACACAGUGUUAAGUGGAGAUGAAGGAGAGGAGAGAGAAUAGAAAAAAAUAUUUAAGCAAUAGUAUCUGAGAAUUUUCCAAAUUUGAUGAAAAACAUUAAGAAAAUCAUACCUCAGCAUAUCACAAAGUACUAAAAAUCAAAGAUAAAUUAUAAAGCAUUCAGAGGAAAAGAAAAACACUGUGUGUCAGGGGACAAAGAUAAGAAUUAUGAAUGACUACUACUCACAGAAAACAAUGAAGGUCAGAAAACAAUCUAAUGGUAUGUAUAAAACACAGAGAGAAAACUGUUAACCUAGAAUUCAACAGCCAGUGAAAAUAUCCUUCAAUAAAUGAGGUUAAAAAAAUUUUUUUUGGAUAAAAGAAAGCUAAGAGAAUUCAUAACAAGCAGAUCCUCACUUCAGAAAAUUCUUAAAGGAAGUUCUUCACACUGAAGAGAAAUGACAACAGAUGGAAACUCAGUUAUACAGAGAGAGGUCACUACCACCACUCUUAGUAAAUACAUGGGUACAUUUUGAAACACGUGCUUUCUUAUGUUUUAAAUUUCUUGAAAACAAAAUUGAUCAUUUAAAUUAACUAUAAUAACAUUUUGUUGUGGAUUUUUAUAACGUAAAUGGAAGCAAAAUAUAUGACAAUUCAUGAAGAAUGGAGUGGAGCAUAUGGAGUGACACUACUGCAAGGUUCUCAUGUUUUACAUGAAGUGGUAGUGGACUAUGACAAAUUAAGAAUGCAUAAUAAAAUCCCUAGAGCAACAGUUUAAAAAAAAAAUACAAAGAGGAAUACCUAAAAAGUCAAUAGACGUUCAACAAAUGUUGCGUCACAAUUGGGUCUUCAUAUGCAAAAGUUAACUUCUGUCCAUACAAAAAUUAACUCAAAGUGGGUCACAGAUCUAAAUAUAAAACCAAACUCUAAAAUGUAUAGAAGAAUACAUAGGAGAAAACCUCUGUGACCCUGGGUAAGGCAAAGAUUUCUUAGAUACAACAACAAAAGCAAGAUCCCUAAAAAGACAAAUUGAUAAUCAAUUAGACAUAAUCAGCAAUAGAAACUUCUGCCAUUUAUGAAAAGAUAAUGAAGAAGAUGAAAAGACCAGCUACAAACUGGGAGAAAUAUUUGCAAACGAUGUCCGAUAAAAGAUUUGUAUCCAGAAAAUAUAAAGAACUCUCAAAAUUCAAUAACAAGAAAAUAACCCAAUUUUUAAAAAUGGUCAAAAGAUUUGAACACAUGCUUCGCAAAAGAAAAUAAGCAAAUUUUAAAAAAAUGUUCAACCUUCAUCAUUAGGGAAAUGCACAUUAAAACCACAAUGAGGGCUUCCCUGGUGGUGCAGUAGUUGAGAGUCCGCUUGCCAUUGCAGGGGACACGGGUUCGUGCCCCGGUCCGGGAGGAUCCCGCAUGGUGCGGAGCGGCUGGGCCCGUGAGCCAUGGCCGCUGAGCCUGCGCGUCCGGAGCCUGCGCUCCGCAACGGGAGAGGCCACAACAGUGAGAGGCCUGCGUACCAAAAAAAAAAAAACCACAACGAGAUGCCACAAAUGUCUAUUAGAAUGGCUAAAAUUAUAAUGACCAUAUCAGUGUUGGUGAAGAUGUAGAGUAAAUGAAACAUUCCUACACUGAUGAUGGCAAUAUAAAAUGAUGCAACCACGGGAAAACAGUUUGACAGUUUUUUAAACAUAUACCUGUUGUAGGAUUCAGCCAUUCUACUACCAGAUAUUAACCCAAGAACAAAGAAAGCGUUUGUCAAUACAAAGACUUGCACACAAAUGUUCAUAGAAAUUCUAUUUGUAAUGGCCCAAAACAACACAAUCCGAAAGUUCAUCAGUAGAUGAAUGGAUAAACAAAUGGAAUACUUCUCAGUAACAGAAAGUAACGAACUAUUGAUAUACCCAGGUAUAAGGAUGAACCAAAAUUCAUUAUGCUGAUGAAAGAAGCCAGACAAAAACGAGUAUAUAGAGUAUGAUUCCAUUUGUAUGCAAUUCUAAAAAACGCAAACUAAUCUACAGUGACAGCAUAUCUGUAGUUACUGCCUGGGGUUAAAAGAAAACAGGGAGGAGAAGAGAUGGGGAGAAAGAUUAUAAAAGGAGCACUGAGGAAAUUUCAGGAGUGAUGGACACGUUUAUCAUCUUGGUUAUGGUUAUGGUUUUGCAGGUGUAUACAUAUGACAAAACAUAAAAUUGUACACUUUAAAUAUGUAUAGUUUAUUGUAUGUCAAAUAUGCCUUAAUAAAGCUGUUUUUUAAAAAGCCAAUAGAGGAAAUAGAAUACUAAAAAAUAUUUUAUUAACUCCAGAGAAAGUAGGAAAGGAGAAAUAAAAAUUAAACAUUUCCACUAAUCAAAAUGUACCAUUAAGAAAAUACAAAGGGAAGUCACAAGAGAAAAAUUAUGUAUAUAUAAAUAGAUAAGUAGAUAGAUAUACAUAUCUCAAGGGGCUUGAAUGCAAAAUACAUAAAAUCCACUACAAAUUAACAUUUUAAAAAAGGAAAACUUAUUUUCAGGGCUUCCCUGGAGGCGCAGUGGUUGAGAGCCCGCCUGCUGAUGCAGGGGACACGGGUUCAUGCCCCGGUCCGGGAGGAUCCCGCAUGCUGCGGAGCGGCUGGGCCCGUGAGCCAUGGCCGCUGAGCCUGCGUGUCCGGAGCCUGAGCUCCGCAACCGGGAAAGGCCACAACAGUGAGAGGCCCGCAUACCACCAAAAAAAAAAAAAAAAAAGAAAAA
Molecule: long non-coding RNA, 7997 nt
Organism: Globicephala melas (long-finned pilot whale)
Lineage: Eukaryota; Metazoa; Chordata; Mammalia; Artiodactyla; Delphinidae
Source: RefSeq, a predicted model, not a curated record